UACAGAGGUCCCAAGCGUUGUUCGGAUUCACUGGGCGUAAAGGGCGCGUAGGCGGUCGGGUAAGUCUGGCGUGAAAUCUCCAAGCCUAACUUGGAAACUGCGUUGGAUACUAUCCGGCUCGAGGAAUGGAGGGGAGACUGGAAUACUUGGUGUAGCAGUGAAAUGCGUAGAUAUCAAGUGGAACACCAGUGGCGAAGGCGAGUCUCUGGACAUUUCCUGACGCUGAGGCACGAAAGCCAGGGGAGCAAACGGG
Molecule: ribosomal RNA, 253 nt
Filed under: uncultured bacterium
Lineage: Bacteria
Description: partial 16S ribosomal RNA
Rfam family: Bacterial small subunit ribosomal RNA
Source: RNAcentral